AGUGAACGCUGGCGGUAGGCCUAACACAUGCAAGUCGAACGGCAGCACAGUAAUAGCUUGCUCUUACGGGUGGCGAGUGUCGGACGGUUGAGGAAUACAUCGUAAUCUUCUUUUUCGUGGGGGUUAACGUAGGGAAACUUACGCUAAUACCGCAUACGACCUACGGGUUAAAGCAUUGGUUCUUCUGACCUUUCGCGUUUGUAUUAGCCGAGUUCGGAUUAGCUAGUUGGCUGGGUAAAGGCCCACCAAGGCGACGAUCCGUAGCUGGUCUGAGAGGAGGAACAGAGACACUGGAAGAGAGACACGGUCAAGAGUACUACGGGAGGAAGCAGAGGGGAAUAUUGGACAAUGGGGGAAAGCAUGAUACAGGAAAACCGCGUGGGUGAAGAAGGAGUUAGGGUUGUAAAGCAAUGAUGUUGGGAAAGAAAAGAAGCAGGAUAAAAAGAAGAGGUAAUGACGGUAACAAAAGAAAAAGCACCGGCUAACUACGUG
This 492-nucleotide ribosomal RNA is filed under the name uncultured bacterium. RNAcentral describes it as "partial 16S ribosomal RNA". It matches the Rfam family "Bacterial small subunit ribosomal RNA", at positions 29 to 507 of the family's 1533-position model. The record is from RNAcentral.